CAUCUUACUGGGCAGCAUUGGAUGGAGUCUGGUCUCUAAUACUGCCUGGUAAUGAUGAC
RNAcentral lists this microRNA precursor (59 nucleotides) under Pteropus alecto (black flying fox). RNAcentral's name for it is "microRNA pal-mir-200b precursor". Its record names the gene pal-mir-200b. It matches the Rfam family "mir-8/mir-141/mir-200 microRNA precursor family", at positions 6 to 67 of the family's 72-position model. Rfam says of the family: The bounds of the precursors are predicted based on conservation and base pairing and are not generally known. The record is from miRBase by way of RNAcentral. Lineage: Eukaryota; Metazoa; Chordata; Mammalia; Chiroptera; Pteropodidae.